GGGCGUAUAGCUCAGUGGGUACGUGGCCGCUUAAAGCCUGAUCACCUUAAUCACUCACUAACGUCCCUAAAGUAGAGCGCUCGCUUUGCAUGCGAGAGGUCUUGGGUUCGAUCCCCAAUUCGUCCA
This is a non-coding RNA of Verruconis gallopava, 126 nucleotides long. The record is from the annotation of a RefSeq genome assembly. NCBI's taxonomy places the organism in Eukaryota, Fungi, Ascomycota, Dothideomycetes, Venturiales, Sympoventuriaceae.